This 301-nucleotide ribosomal RNA is filed under the name uncultured bacterium. Its description in RNAcentral is "partial 16S ribosomal RNA". It matches the Rfam family "Bacterial small subunit ribosomal RNA", at positions 509 to 807 of the family's 1533-position model. The record is from RNAcentral.
CAGUAGCCACGGGAAUACAGAGGGUGCGAGCGUUAAUCGGAUUUACUGGGCGUAAAGCGUGCGUAGGCGGCUUUUUAAGUCGGAUGUGAAAUCCCUGAGCUUAACUUAGGAAUUGCAUUCGAUACUGGGAAGCUAGAGUAUGGGAGAGGAUGGUAGAAUUCCAGGUGUAGCGGUGAAAUGCGUAGAGAUCUGGAGGAAUACCGAUGGCGAAGGCAGCCAUCUGGCCUAAUACUGACGCUGAGGUACGAAAGCAUGGGGAGCAAACAUGAUUAGAUACCCCCGUAGUCCCUGUCUCUUAUAC